Molecule: long non-coding RNA, 1658 nt
Filed under: Sorghum bicolor (sorghum)
Lineage: Eukaryota; Viridiplantae; Streptophyta; Magnoliopsida; Poales; Poaceae
Description: long non-coding RNA (SBIC_LNC006219)
Source: RNAcentral
CGGUCUACUAGCGCCAUCCAGAUGAAAUGCGGAGGAACAUAAAGGAGAAGCCAGCCUCGCUGCCGCAGCUGGCUUGGAAGGCCAGCUCUGCGAGACAUGCCUUCGCCGGCGCCGGCACCGGUGACUUGAGCACGCACAUCUCUACUAGGGAUUUCAUCGGCCGUGGCAAUUCCUGCUGCACCGACGCAACUACACAUAGGCAGCGGCGGCGACACGACUCGGUGUCCGCGCUGUGCCAGAUACGCAAGAGAAAGAGGCCGGGCACAGCAGCUAGCUUGCACCACGUCGGCUCCAUCUAGAUGGAGGCCGAUCUGCUGUCUUGCGCAUGGUGCCACGGAUACACCAUGUUGUGCGUAUUACUGCAAAGGUGCCACGGUGAAGGUGACCAUCGGUCUCAAGAAGAUUAGAGGUUGCGCAGGCAACAACGCGCCGGAUCCUGAGUCUAGACCAUGUCUUCUGGACACACAUGGCUCCUAGGCGCGUACGUGAUGACCCGAAGCCAACGUGCAUACAUAGUGCACUUAUCCGUGCCUGCCAUACGCAUGCACGUAUGCAUGUAGAGAUCCAUGCAAGGAAGGCCACAAGCUAGGAUCGAGAUGGCGUUAAUCUCUCCCAUGGGUAAGAAACUAAUUUAGUUAUUGUUUCUUUAAAUAUUGCAUAUCAGCAUGCACCUUGGCUGGUGUCAUGGCUAGCCGAGAAGUGCCGGUGUCAGACUACGAGAGUCAUCAUGUCACAAGGACACGGAGUACCGACGGUGAGCUUCGGCUUGCCGGUGCCGGAUGUGCCCGUGUUACAGAGUCGGAGGCUCAGAGACAUGAAUGCGGCCGCCAAGACAGAGACAUGAGGAUACAACUACCACAAGAAGCAAGCAAGGUCCUGGUGUAUGUGUACAUGCAUGCACUGCCAUGCAUACACGUGCUACAUGGUCAGUCUGCGGCGCCGACACCUCCUACAGAGAAGAAGCAAGCAAGGCCUAGAUGUAUAUGCAUAUACGUACACAUACAGGCCAUGCUUGCGCAUGCCAUCUAGGGGCAGAUGCAAGUCUUCAUCCACUACUAAAGUUCAACCCCAUUGAUCAAGUUCCACGACAUACCACGACGAUGCUAUUGAAGAAGUCCAAAGCGAUCCAAGCUACACCAACCAUGCAAGUGCGACUGCGAUGACACCAUGUGUCGUUCGACACCGACGAGGCGAACGACGCAGCACUACCAAAAUAGUGGAAUUCUCCUAGUGUUUUUAAGUAGUUAUAAAAUACUACCACUAGUCAAAACACUAGGGAAUCCUACUAGGAGACAUUUAGUAGGGAAAGUUUAUACUAAAUUUUGAAUACUAAAACACUAGGAGAAGUCCACCUCACUAGCAGAAUUAGUAAAUUAUGGUUGUGCAGGCGGGCAUGGCUGAUAUUCUAGCCAUGUUGUAUGGGCUCACGGACCGACGAGGCCCUCAUGCCAACGUCACCUACAUCUACACCAACACCGCAUGGAGAAGUAAAGCGAAGAUCGACGACGAUGACCAAUGCAGCUUAAUCGGAGGUACUCUAUGAGCUUGACUCAUAGGGGUAAUUAACUGGGAGCUUUUCGAGGCCCCAGGAACCAUGAAGACCACGAUCGCCUAAGCUAGAUCGCUGCAAUCAGGCUAUGGAGCGCACACUGUACCAG